This 253-nucleotide ribosomal RNA is filed under the name uncultured bacterium. RNAcentral's name for it is "partial 16S ribosomal RNA". It matches the Rfam family "Bacterial small subunit ribosomal RNA", at positions 524 to 776 of the family's 1533-position model. The record is from RNAcentral.
UACGGAGGGUGCUAGCGUUGUUCGGAAUCACUGGGCGUAAAGGGCGUGUAGGCGGCCUGCUAAGUCUGAUGUGAAAUCCCCUCGCUCAACGAGGGAACUGCAUCGGAUACUGGCAGACUCGAGUACCGGAGAGGAAGGUGGAAUUCCCGGUGUAGCGGUGGAAUGCGUAGAUAUCGGGAGGAACACCGGUGGCGAAGGCGGCCUUCUGGACGGAUACUGACGCUGAGACGCGAAAGCGUGGGGAGCAAACAGG